CUCAUACAUGCAGUUGAGCGCGGCAGCAAUGCCGAGCGGCGAACGGGUGAGUAACACGUGAACAAUCCUCCCAAAGGUGGGGGACAACCAUCCCAACGGAUGGCUAAUACCGCAUAGGGUACGGGAAAGGCAUCUUCCCCAUACGAAAGAUUUAUCGCCUUUGGAUGAGUUCGCGUCCCAUUAGCUUGUUGGCGGGGUAACGGCCCACCAAGGCGACGAUGGGUAUCCGGCCUGAGAGGGUGUACGGACACAUUGGGACUGAGAUACGGCCCAGACUCCUACGGGAGGCAGCAGUAGGGAAUCUUGCGCAAUGGACGAAAGUCUGACGCAGCAACGCCAUGUGUGGGAUGAAGCAUUUCGGUGUGUAAACCACUGUCGGCAGGGAAUAAAGCUCCGUCUUUGGCGGAGGGUGAAUGUACCUGCAAAGGAAGCCCCGGCUAACUUCGUG
This 448-nucleotide ribosomal RNA is filed under the name uncultured bacterium. RNAcentral describes it as "bacterial SSU rRNA". It matches the Rfam family "Bacterial small subunit ribosomal RNA", at positions 48 to 507 of the family's 1533-position model. The record is from RNAcentral.